This 399-nucleotide RNase P RNA is filed under the name Rhizobium grahamii. Its description in RNAcentral is "RNase P RNA component class A". It matches the Rfam family "Bacterial RNase P class A". From Rfam's summary of the family: Ribonuclease P (RNase P) is a ubiquitous endoribonuclease, found in archaea, bacteria and eukarya as well as chloroplasts and mitochondria. Its best characterised activity is the generation of mature 5'-ends of tRNAs by cleaving the 5'-leader elements of precursor-tRNAs. The record is from RNAcentral. RNAcentral also lists the same sequence under 1 other name. Lineage: Bacteria; Pseudomonadati; Pseudomonadota; Alphaproteobacteria; Hyphomicrobiales; Rhizobiaceae.
UCAGUUGGCCGGGCAGCCGCGCUUUACCAAUGCCGAAAGGCGGUAGGGUGAGGAAAGUCCGGGCUCCAUGGAAACACGGUGCCGGAUAACGUCCGGCGAGGGUGACCUCAGGGAAAGUGCCACAGAAAGCAAACCGCCGACGCCUGGCGUCGGUAAGGGUGAAAGGGUGGGGUAAGAGCCCACCGCAUUUCCGGUAACGGCGAUGGCAAGGUAAACCCCACCGGGAGCAAGACCGAAUAGGGAUGACGCGGUAAGCGAAAGUUUGCCGGCCGGUUUCUAGGCCAGUCAUCCGGGUGGGUUGCGUGAGGCGGCGUGUAAACGUCGUCCCAGAGGAAUGGCUGCCACGUUCCGGUUUCGGCCGGAGCCAUACAGAACCCGGCUUACAGGCCAACUGGCGAU